CACUAACAAACAAUUAUUCAAGCUAAAGUAUAUAUAUAAUUUUGAAUCAAACACCACACUUUUGAGACAAUGGUUUUUGAAGUAUUCGCUUAAUAAUAGAUUCUAUAUAAUACUAUGACAUGAAAUGUCCUAUGAGAGGAAAACAAUUAUUACCAUACAUAUACUGGGCCUAAAAGUUUAAAUUCACUACAUUUUCAAAUGUCUCCACGUAUCGGCCAUCCUCUUCGCAGCUUGAUACCUUUUCACUGUGGAAAUUCCAGAAAUAUUAGAAAGCUCCUCAUUGAGUUUCUUUUUUUGCUCCAUUAGAUUGUCCUCACAAAUUGCUUUACUAAACAUUUUGGCAGUUUCAUGAAGUUCAGUAGCUAUCAUCCUUGAAGCACUACAAACUUCUUUAUCAAGCUCCUCAUGCACAUCAGCUGCAGUUUGGGCAUCAUGACCAGUUGACCUAUCUUUCCCAAAGAUUAUACAAAGAUCAUCAAACCAUGGAAAACGAUUAUAUCUCCACUUAGCAGCCUUGUCAUGAACCUGCAUACCAAAGUUUUACAUAACAUUAAAUUGCAUAUACUUUUAAGCUAAAUUGUAACAGUCAAUCAAAAAACUCAGUCUCAUACAAGAGAAAAGCUUUAGCAAUAACCAUACAUGCAAAAUACAGAUUUAUGCCCCAGCCGCAUAAACUCAACAAGCCAAAUUACACACUGUUGUUAUUUCAAAAAAAAAUCUUCUCCAGAAGUUAACGCAAUGAAACUGAAGAUGAAGAAGAGCCUUGAAUACUUGAAUUACCAUAGAAGUGAUCAAAAC
This 798-nucleotide long non-coding RNA is filed under the name Panax ginseng (ginseng). RNAcentral describes it as "long non-coding RNA (PGIN_LNC018145)". Lineage: Eukaryota; Viridiplantae; Streptophyta; Magnoliopsida; Apiales; Araliaceae. The record is from RNAcentral.